AACGAACGCUGGCGGCGUGGAUAAGACAUGCAAGUCGGACGAGAUUUUUCGUUGUAGCAAUACGAUGGAAAAUUUAGUGGCGAACGGGUGCUUAACACGUGGGCAACCUGCCAGGAAGUGGGGGACAGCUCGCCGAAAGGCGGAUUAAUACCGCAUGUGAUUAGAGAGGACAUCCUUUCGAAAUUAAAGUCGGGGCAACCUGACGCUUCUUGUGGGGCCCGCGGCCUAUCAGCUAGUUGGUGAGGUAAAGGCUCACCAAGGCUUUGACGGGUAGCUGGUCUGAGAGGACGACCAGCCACACUGGGACUGAGACACGGCCCAGACACCUACGGGUGGCAGCAGUCGAGAAUUUUUGACAAUGGGGGAAACCCUGAUCGAGCGACGCCGCGUGGAGGAUGAAGGUCUUCGGAUUGUAAACUCCUGUCAUUGGGGAACAAUGCACAGAUAUUAACUGUAUUUGUGUUGAUAGUACCCGAAGAGGAAGAGACGGCUAACUCUGUGCCAGCAGCCGCCGCCG
This 517-nucleotide ribosomal RNA is filed under the name uncultured bacterium. RNAcentral describes it as "partial 16S ribosomal RNA". It matches the Rfam family "Bacterial small subunit ribosomal RNA", at positions 29 to 523 of the family's 1533-position model. The record is from RNAcentral.